Long non-coding RNA from Tachysurus fulvidraco (yellow catfish), 1428 nucleotides. RefSeq lists it as uncharacterized. The record is from RefSeq and is a predicted model, not a curated record. Lineage: Eukaryota; Metazoa; Chordata; Actinopteri; Siluriformes; Bagridae. The transcript has 3 exons.
UGACAUUGUCCGUAAUGAUUACCGAGAUGUCACAUUCGGACAGGACUAAAAUCACCGAGAAGCUCUGGUAAUAAUUACUUUACCCCCCACGUCCCCACGUAGAACUAAUCCCGUCCGAAUAGGGCUCAAGACAAUAAAAUCUGUGAAGCUGAAGCUGAGACGAUUGCUUAUGUAAGAGGAAAGCUGUCUUUCAUAAGCUCGUAAAAUAAGCGAAGCAUGUCACAAGAUUUUUUGCAGCGGCGUCUCUCCGACUAAGCCAGAUCUCCCUUGGCCUUCUCCCUUCCUCUCUAAAACCCUUUAAUUAACUAAACAGUAGUUGACCUAGAGAGAUUUUCCUCUUUUCCAUUAUUUUUGGUGUCACAGGCCCACGGGGCAGCUGCGUAGGCGAAGGAAGGAAGGAAGAGAGGAAGAGAAAGUAAAGAUGAAAAGAAACAUGAAAGCGAGUCAGGGGAAAAAAAUAUGACGAGGAAGGGAAACGCAAAGAAGCGACGCUGAUGGAUGACACACGAUCCGUUCAUCUGAAAGGAGGAGGAUCGGCUUUCUAAGUUAAAACGCAGAUUUGUUGUGCGCUGGUUUCUGGUGAAACGUGCGUUUGUCUUUCACUUCUGUGUCAGCUGCUGCUGUCCUGCCUCCCACUUCCUGUUAUGUGCCUCUGAGGAGGGAGGAUCAGGGAGAGAAGAGAGAAGAUAAGAAAAAUCUCACCAGGAAACACGUCACCAUGAAGUGCGUCAUGGUGCAUCAUUCUUCAUCCAGAAGACUUUCAUUAUGUUAAUAACAAUAAACAGGAUCCUGGCCUGUUUGCUCAUGUCAGAUUUCCGGUAACGUUUCUGGAAUUCCUGGAGCCGAAGUCGCCGGAUUCCUCGGCACUACCUCGUGUUUUGGUGUUUGCUGCACUUUGGAUUUCCGUCCCACUCGCAGCGUAUGAGUCAGAAAGCAUGUGGUAUUCAAGGUCUGACUGCCUCACACAACACGGCACAGCACACACUCCCGCCUCGCUGUGUUUAUCUUAAAGCCAUCUGACUUCUUGUCACUCUAUUUUUUUUCUUUUCUUUUUUUUUUUAAAGAAUAGACACAGUGACAUAAGGAUUACUCCACCUCGCCUGCCACUUUGUCCCUUUACAAACACGUCCUUUCUACUCCGGUAUCCGCUCACCUUCCAGCCUCUGGAACGUCUCUCAUUAUUCUCCAGAAAUCUGCUCCUACUAGCCCUAGGAAUCUAAACUUCACCGCCCCACAGUGUCUCGAGCUGCCGGAUGAUGUCACCUGAUCACGUCACAGUCAUUAUUUUCACUGCCUGACCUUUAAUCAUAAUAAUUAUUUGACCUCAUUUCAUUUCUUUGCAAACACACACACACACACACACACACACACACACACACACACACACACACACACACACACACACACACACACACAGACAGCAGUGGG